RNAcentral lists this ribosomal RNA (493 nucleotides) under uncultured bacterium. Its description in RNAcentral is "partial 16S ribosomal RNA". It matches the Rfam family "Bacterial small subunit ribosomal RNA", at positions 28 to 504 of the family's 1533-position model. The record is from RNAcentral.
GAUGAACGCUGGCGGCGUGCCUAAUACAUGCAAGUAGAACGCUGAAGCUUGGUGCUUGCACCGAGCGGAUGAGUUGCGAACGGGUGAGUAACGCGUAGGUAACCUGCCUCUUAGCGGGGGAUAACUAUUGGAAACGAUAGCUAAUACCGCAUAAAAGUCGAUAUCGCAUGAUAUUGAUUUGAAAGGUGCAAAUGCAUCACUAAGAGAUGGACCUGCGUUGUAUUAGCUAGUUGGUGAGGUAACGGCUCACCAAGGCGACGAUACAUAGCCGACCUGAGAGGGUGAUCGGCCACACUGGGACUGAGACACGGCCCAGACUCCUACGGGAGGCAGCAGUAGGGAAUCUUCGGCAAUGGGGGCAACCCUGACCGAGCAACGCCGCGUGAGUGAAGAAGGUUUUCGGAUCGUAAGCUCUGUUGUAAGAGAAGAACGAGUGUGAGAGUGGAAAGUUCACACUGUGACGGUAACUUACCAGAAAGGGACGGCUAACUAC